UACGGAGGGUGCGAGCGUUUGUCCGGAAUCACUGGGCGUAAAGGGUGCGUAGGCGGCCCUGUAAGUCAGUGGUGAAAUACUGCAGCUUAACUGUAGCAUUGCCAUUGAUACUGUAGGGCUUGAGUACAGAUGAGGUAGGCGGAAUUGAUGGUGUAGCGGUGAAAUGCAUAGAUACCAUCAAGAACACCGAUUGCGAAGGCAGCUUACUAAGCUGUAACUGACGCUGACGGCAGCGAAAAGCGUGGGGGAUCCGAACAGGG
This 260-nucleotide ribosomal RNA is filed under the name uncultured bacterium. RNAcentral's name for it is "partial 16S ribosomal RNA". It matches the Rfam family "Bacterial small subunit ribosomal RNA", at positions 524 to 777 of the family's 1533-position model. The record is from RNAcentral.